Molecule: ribosomal RNA, 477 nt
Filed under: uncultured bacterium
Lineage: Bacteria
Description: partial 16S ribosomal RNA
Rfam family: Bacterial small subunit ribosomal RNA
Source: RNAcentral
GAUGAACGCUGGCGGCGUGCCUAAUACAUGCAAGUCGAGCGAACGGACGAUAAGCUUGCGUCUCUGAUGUUAGCGGCGGACGGGUGAGUAACACGUGGAUAACCUACCUGUAUGACUGGGAUAACUUCGGGAAACCGGAGCUAAUACCGUAUAAUAUUCUGAGCCGCAUGGUUCAAAAGUGAAAGUCGGUCUUGGCGGCGGUUGUAGAUGGAUCCGCGCUGCAUUAGCUAGUUGGUAAGGUAACGGCUUACCAAGGCAACGACGGGUAGCCGGCCUGAGAGGGGGACCGGCCACAUGGGGACUGAGAGACGGCCCAGACUCAGACGGGAGGCAGGAGUGGGGAAUAUUGAACAAUGGGCGGAAGCAUGAUGCAGCAACGCCGCGUGCGGGAUGACGGCCUUCGGGGUGGAAACCGCUUUCGCCUGUGACGAAGCGGGAGUGACGGUAAUUGGUAAAGAGGCACCGGCUAACUACGUG